AUAAUGAUACUUCCGAAGAUAAGCUGCUUCGGUCCGAGAGGAUGGUGAGAUUCCAAUGA
RNAcentral lists this non-coding RNA (59 nucleotides) under unclassified sequences. RNAcentral's name for it is "pemK RNA". It matches the Rfam family "pemK RNA". The record is from RNAcentral.